AACUCUUAUCCUUCUGCUUUUCCUGGACAAACUGGACAGAAUAGCUGAAUAAUGGGACCUCUAGUUUCCGUCCUGAUUGUGUUUCUUGCUGUUCUCUCUGUUGCUCAGGGCCUGAUGUGUAACUACUGCCAGAGCAUUGACAUGAACAAUCCUUUCUGUGGGCAAACGGAGGAGCUAGAGUGCAGUACCAACCUCACACAUUGCAUCAGGCUCAUACUACAUGAACCAGCAUAUGGUGAAGUGCGUCGAUGUGCCAGUGCCAAGGAAUGUGAGGCAGAUGUGCCUCCUGUGGUGGAGAGAGAAUGCUGCAAUACAGACCUUUGCAACUGAACUUGUUAUGGUUGAGACUUAAUAUGCUCAAUUACAAUAAAUCAGCUAAAUCAUUCCAGUUGAUUAUUUAUAGCAAUAUACUCCAUGAUUUUUAAUAAGUGUAAUGAUACUGAAUGAUGAAUGAAGCAAUGAUGAAAAAAAUAGUGCAUGGUAAAAUACGGAAAAUUACACACUUGUGUCAAAACAAAAUAAAGUAAUGUUCAUGUCUGCAAUAGGAGAACAA
Ictalurus furcatus (blue catfish) is the source of this 553-nucleotide long non-coding RNA. RefSeq lists it as uncharacterized. Lineage: Eukaryota; Metazoa; Chordata; Actinopteri; Siluriformes; Ictaluridae. The transcript is spliced from 4 exons. The record is from RefSeq and is a predicted model, not a curated record.